GAUGAACGCUGGCGGCGUGCUUAACACAUGCAAGUCGAACGGGAUCCAAGGGGUGCUUGCACUUUUUGGUGAGAGUGGCGAACGGGUGAGUAACACGUGAGUAACCUGUCCUUCUCUUUGGGAUAAGCAUUCGAAAGGGUGUUUAAUACCUUAUGUUCUGUCUGCCUCGCAUGGGGUGGGUGGGAAAGGCUUUGGCCGGAUUUGGGUGGGCUCGCGGUCUAUCAGCUUGUUGGUGGGGUGAUGGCUUACCAAGGCUUUGACGGGUAGCCGGCCUGAGAGGGUGGUCGGUCACAUUGGGACUGAGAUACGGCCCAGACUCCUGCGGGAGGCAGCAGUGGGGGAUAUUGCACAAUGGGCGAAAGCCUGAUGCAGCGACGCCGCGUGGGGGAUGAAGGCCUUCGGGUUGUAAACUUCUUUUGCUCUGAACAAGGCAUGCCAGUGGGUGUGUUGAGUGUAGGGGUUGAUUAGCGCCGGCUAACUACGUG
Molecule: ribosomal RNA, 485 nt
Filed under: uncultured bacterium
Lineage: Bacteria
Description: partial 16S ribosomal RNA
Rfam family: Bacterial small subunit ribosomal RNA
Source: RNAcentral